Molecule: ribosomal RNA, 495 nt
Filed under: uncultured bacterium
Lineage: Bacteria
Description: partial 16S ribosomal RNA
Rfam family: Bacterial small subunit ribosomal RNA
Source: RNAcentral
GACGAACGCUGGCGGCGUGCCUAAUACAUGCAAGUUGAGCGCUGAAGGUUGGUACUUGUACCGACUGGAUGAGCAGCGAACGGGUGAGUAACGCGUGGGUAAUCUGCCUUUGAGCGGGGGACAACAUUUGGAAACGAAUGCUAAUACCGCAUAAAAACUUUAAACACAAGUUUUAAGUUUGAAAGAUGCAAUUGCAUCACUCAAAGAUGAUCCCGCGUUGUAUUAGCUAGUUGGUGAGGUAAAGGCUCACCAAGGCGAUGAUACAUAGCCGACCUGAGAGGGUGAUCGGCCACAUUGGGACUGAGACACGGCCCAAACUCCUACGGGAGGCAGCAGUAGGGAAUCUUCGGCAAUGGACGAAAGUCUGACCGAGCAACGCCGCGGGAGUGAAGAAGGUUUUCGGAUCGUAAAACUCUGUUGGUAGAGAAGAACGUUGGUGAGAGUGGAAAGCUCAUCAAGUGACGGUAACUACACAGAAAGGGACGGCUAACUACG